GCCGGGUGUGUAAGCGCAGCGAUGCGUUGAGCUAACCGGUACUAAUGAACCGUGAGGCUUAACCUUACAACGCCGAAGAUGUUUUG
Molecule: ribosomal RNA, 86 nt
Filed under: Escherichia coli O5:K4(L):H4 str. ATCC 23502
Lineage: Bacteria; Pseudomonadati; Pseudomonadota; Gammaproteobacteria; Enterobacterales; Enterobacteriaceae
Description: Large Subunit Ribosomal RNA; lsuRNA; LSU rRNA
Source: RNAcentral